RNAcentral lists this long non-coding RNA (1537 nucleotides) under Ananas comosus (pineapple). RNAcentral's name for it is "long non-coding RNA (ACOM_LNC025446)". Lineage: Eukaryota; Viridiplantae; Streptophyta; Magnoliopsida; Poales; Bromeliaceae. The record is from RNAcentral.
CCACUUUUCACUCUGAAAUUAUAUGCGAAAUUUUUAUUCUGAUUUCAAUUCCCAGCGAAAUUGGAAUCUUUUCAAUUACCCAUUUUUUCAAUCCGGUAUAGAAGAUCAGAUUAGAAAUUGAAUUCGGACGAAAUAAAAUUUUUUAAAUUAAAUUUAUUUUUUUUAAGUUUAUUUUUUAAUUAAAAUAUAAGUCUAAGUUUAAAAAUUAUAUUUAUAAAUUUAAAUUUAAAUUUAAAUUUAAAUUUAAACUUAAAUUAAAAAUUAAAAUUCAAUCGAGCAUUUUGAAUCUAAUUAAUAAAUUUAAAUUUACAUUUAAAUUUAAUUUAAAAUUUAAAGUUUUUUCAAAUUUCAUUUGAAAUUUAAAUUAAAUUUAUGGAUUCAAAUUGAAAUUGAAAUUAUAUUUUAAGUUUGAAUUUGAAUAAAUCGAAAUUUGGUUUUAUAUUUUGAAUUAUCUGUUCAAUUUCAAAUUUUAAUUUUCUUAAAAAGUAUAUUUAAAAUUUUAACAUUUUUUAAAAAUUUUGAAGUAACUUUUUAUUAUUUAAUUUUCAUUCUGAAUUUAAACUAAUAUAUUAGAAAGAUAAAAUUAGCAUAUUAAUUUGAUUAUGUUUUUGAUAUCUAUAUAAAUCAAACACUGACAAUAAAAAUAAUUUAUUCUGAUUCCGAUUUCGAUUCAGGUGGCGAAUUAAACAGAAUGCAGGUAAUGAAUUAUUCCGAUUCCAUUCUCAGCUUAUUCUCUCUUCAAUUUCAAUGUCGAUUCCGACUACGAGCCAAACACAUCCUAAUAAGUGGCUCAAAUUUUAGCCUGAUUAUGAUUUUCAAAAAUCAAGAGUGUAAUUUAUCUUAUUUAAGGUCCGGAAGAUACACUAGUUUUUUUGUUUUUUUUUUUUAGAGAUAGAUAGCAUGCUACCAGUUUCGUUUAUUUCAUUUAGAAAUAAAUUUAGCUGGAAAUGUGAAUCAACUAGGAUUCGAACUUGGGACCUCGGAUACCAACCACCAAGCCCUUUGCCACUUGCUUUAGGGACAGUCGGUUAGUAGAAAGUUGCAUUUCUAACGAUUCCCCCACAUUUCUGUACGUGAUGGUCACUCCAAUUUCAUCACAUGAGCCAGAUGUGCCAAAUUCUAAUGUCACUGGUACUAAAAUGCUCACUAACUAAUAUUUUCAUCGUGCAGUUAUUUGAUCUUCUUCAUUUGAACUUAAAACUUAUUAUUGCCUAUCGACCGGCUCUAAUACAAGUAACAAAAAAUUUGAUGAUUAGUAUUUGAGAUUCUAAAUUUAAAAUCUAAUUAUUUUUUAUUUUAGAAGCUGGUAACAUACUAUCGCUCUCUUUGAAAAUAUUUUUUUUUUUUUUGAGAGAUAGGUAACACGUUAUCUGCUUCGUUUAUUUCAUUUAGAAAUAAACUUAGCUAGAAAUGUGAAUUAAUUAGGAUUCGAACUUGAAUUUCGAAUACCAACUACCAAAUCCUUUACCACUUGCUCUAGAGAAAAUGUUAUAAAUAAACAUUUUGCCAUCUAACGUCCGCACUUUCAUUCACAAUA